UACGUAGGCAGCAAGCGUUGUUCGGAAUUACUGGGCGUAAAGAGUGUGUAGGCGGUGCUCUAAGUCUGUUGUGAAAUCUCCCGGCUUAACCGGGAGGGUGCGGCGGAAACUGGAGUGCUUGAGGGUGGGAGAGGUAAGCGGAAUUCCUGGUGUAGCGGUGAAAUGCGCAGAUAUCGGGAGGAACACCAGUGGCGAAGGCGGCACUCUGGGCCGGAACUGACGCUGAGGAGCGAAAGCGUGGGGAGCGAACAGG
RNAcentral lists this ribosomal RNA (253 nucleotides) under uncultured bacterium. RNAcentral's name for it is "partial 16S ribosomal RNA". It matches the Rfam family "Bacterial small subunit ribosomal RNA", at positions 524 to 776 of the family's 1533-position model. The record is from RNAcentral.